UGGCGAACGGGUGAGUAACGCGUGAGGAACCUGCCUCAAAGAGGGGGACAACAGUUGGAAACGACUGCUAAUACCGCAUAAGCCCACGGGUCGGCAUCGACCUGAGGGAAAAGGAGCAAUCCGCUUUGAGAUGGCCUCGCGUCCGAUUAGCUAGUUGGUGAGGUAACGGCCCACCAAGGCGACGAUCGGUAGCCGGACUGAGAGGUUGAACGGCCACAUUGGGACUGGGACACGGCCCAG
This 240-nucleotide ribosomal RNA is filed under the name uncultured bacterium. RNAcentral describes it as "partial 16S ribosomal RNA". It matches the Rfam family "Bacterial small subunit ribosomal RNA", at positions 96 to 334 of the family's 1533-position model. The record is from RNAcentral.